Molecule: ribosomal RNA, 653 nt
Filed under: Shigella flexneri
Lineage: Bacteria; Pseudomonadati; Pseudomonadota; Gammaproteobacteria; Enterobacterales; Enterobacteriaceae
Description: partial 23S ribosomal RNA
Rfam family: Bacterial large subunit ribosomal RNA
Source: RNAcentral
GGUUAAGCGACUAAGCGUACACGGUGGAUGCCCUGGCAGUCAGAGGCGAUGAAGGACGUGCUAAUCUGCGAUAAGCGUCGGUAAGGUGAUAUGAACCGUUAUAACCGGCGAUUUCCGAAUGGGGAAACCCAGUGUGAUUCGUCACACUAUCAUUAACUGAAUCCAUAGGUUAAUGAGGCGAACCGGGGGAACUGAAACAUCUAAGUACCCCGAGGAAAAGAAAUCAACCGAGAUUCCCCCAGUAGCGGCGAGCGAACGGGGAGCAGCCCAGAGCCUGAAUCAGUGUGUGUGUUAGUGGAAGCGUCUGGAAAGGCGUGCGAUACAGGGUGACAGCCCCGUACACAAAAAUGCACAUACUGUGAGCUCGAUGAGUAGGGCGGGACACGUGGUAUCCUGUCUGAAUAUGGGGGGACCAUCCUCCAAGGCUAAAUACUCCUGACUGACCGAUAGUGAACCAGUACCGUGAGGGAAAGGCGAAAAGAACCCCGGCGAGGGGAGUGAAAAAGAACCUGAAACCGUGUACGUACAAGCAGUGGGAGCACGCUUAGGCGUGUGACUGCGUACCUUUUGUAUAAUGGGUCAGCGACUUAUAUUCUGUAGCAAGGUUAACCGAAUAGGGGAGCCGAAGGGAAACCGAGUCUUAACUGGGCGUU